AUGUUUGAUGUUCUAACGUGGGCCCCUAAUCGGGGUUGCGGACAGUGUCUGGUGGGUAGUUUGACUGGGGCGGUCUCCUCCUAAAGAGUAACGGAGGAGCACGAAGGUUGGCUAAGUACGGUCGGACAUCGUACGGUUAGUGCAAAGGCAGAAGCCAGCUUAACUGCGAGACAGACACGUCGAGCAGGUACGAAAGUAGGUCUUAGUGAUCCGGUGG
RNAcentral lists this ribosomal RNA (217 nucleotides) under Mesorhizobium sp. RNAcentral's name for it is "partial 23S ribosomal RNA". It matches the Rfam family "Bacterial large subunit ribosomal RNA", at positions 2210 to 2426 of the family's 2925-position model. Lineage: Bacteria; Pseudomonadati; Pseudomonadota; Alphaproteobacteria; Hyphomicrobiales; Phyllobacteriaceae. The record is from RNAcentral.